GACGAACGCUGGCGGCGUGCUUAACACAUGCAAGUCGAACGAUGAAGCCGGAGCUUGCUCUGGUGAAUUAGUGGCGAACGGGUGAGUAACACGUGAGUAACCUGCCCUUGACUCUGGGAUAACUGCGGGAAACUGUAGCUAAUACCGGAUACGACCCUCGGAGGCAUCUCCUGGGGGUGGAAAGAAUGUCGGUCAAGGAUGGACUCGCGGCCUAUCAGCUAGUGGGUGAGGUAAAGGCUCACCAAGGCGACGACGGGUAGCCGGCCUGAGAGGGUGGCGGGACACAGUGGGACUGAGACACGGCCCAGACUCCUACGGGAGGCAGCAGGGGGGAAGAUUGCACGAUGGGCGCAAGCAUGAUGCAGCAACGCCGCGUGAGGGAUGACGGCCUUCGGGUUGUAAACCUCUUUUAGCAGGGAAGAAGCGAAAGUGACGGUACCUGCAGAAAAAGCACCGGCUAACUACGUGCCAGCAGCCGCGGUAA
RNAcentral lists this ribosomal RNA (484 nucleotides) under uncultured bacterium. RNAcentral describes it as "partial 16S ribosomal RNA". It matches the Rfam family "Bacterial small subunit ribosomal RNA", at positions 28 to 523 of the family's 1533-position model. The record is from RNAcentral.